Long non-coding RNA from Phascolarctos cinereus (koala), 969 nucleotides. RefSeq lists it as uncharacterized. The record is from RefSeq and is a predicted model, not a curated record. Lineage: Eukaryota; Metazoa; Chordata; Mammalia; Diprotodontia; Phascolarctidae.
ACAAGAAAUUAAGCCCUGAUCUGUAGUCUUUGUCAAUUCUGAGGUGGAAAUGCUCACAGUCAAAAUUUAAUAAUUUUUGAGCUGGCUCCAGCACAUCCUUACAGUGAGGUUGAACUCUGGUCACAAGACUGAGCUCGGACCAGAACCCAGGUUUCCUGGCUCUGGCUAGAGCUCUUUCCCAUUUUGGGAAAAUGUUUGAACAUUUACCAAAUCUGGGAAGCAGAAUUAGACUUGUACCAGAAGGAGACAGAUGUAAGAGAGAACUGAGAAGACUUAGCAACUUAUUGGAUGUGUAGGGUGAGGGGGAAAUGGAAUAUGACACGGAGGUUGGGAAGGAUAGUAGUGACCUUAACAAAGAGGCAAGUCUGGAAGAAUUUCCAGGGUUCUGCUCUGCUUUCAAAAUAGAUGAGAACUGUGGCAGGCACCAGACAGAUAAGGAAUAUCUCAGUCUCAGAAGAGUGUAAAUUAAAAGUGACACAAAGGGCUAAUAGGUUGAAGCAUAGUACCCACAACGACUUGGGCACAAGCGGUAGUACAAAAUACAUCAUCAAUGACUUGCAUGUCUGGCAAAGAAAUCGGAUUGACCGUGUAGGAACAGUAGGAGAUGGAUCAGCCAGCGCACCAGUGCCAACUAUAAAAUUAUUAAAAAGACCCAAAGGAAGAACUCCAGUACAUUGAAUGGAUACUUUUUUGGAAGACUUAUCGAAGGACAAGGUGGGGGAUGGAAUUACAUAUGAUAAAGAGUCACAAAUAGGCUGUGAUACAUACUCAUAUUGAUGAGAUUACAGAUCUGUGAAAAUAACAAAUGAGUGAAAUAAUGGGUGAACAAAUGAAGUGAAGAAAUGAAUAAAGAAAUACUGAUUUGAUGAGUGAUGGAAUAAGAGAGUCACUGAAUAAUUGAAUGAGUGUCUUAAUGAAUGAAACAGUGACAGCAUCAUUGAAUGAACAAUAAAUGCUUAUGGAAUUGAA